GGGUGAGUAAUACAUCGGAACGUGUCCGCUCGUGGGGGACAACCAGCCGAAAGGUUGGCUAAUACCGCAUGAGUUCUACGGAAGAAAGAGGGGGACCCGCAAGGGCCUCUCGCGAGCGGAGCGGCCGAUGACUGAUUAGCCGGUUGGUGAGGUAACGGCUCACCAAAGCAACGAUCAGUAGCUGGUCUGAGAGGACGACCAGCCACACUGGGACUGAGACACGGCCCAGACUCCUACGGGAGGCAGCAGUGGGGAAUUUUGGACAAUGGGCGCAAGCCUGAUCCAGCUAUUCCGCGUGUGGGAUGAAGGCCCUCGGGUUGUAAACCACUUUUGUAGAGAACGAAAAGACACCUUCGAAUAAAGGGUGUUGCUGACGGUACUCUAAGAAUAAGCACCGGCUAACUACGUGCCAGCAGCCGCGGUAAUACGUAGGGUGCGAGCGUUAAUCGGAAUUACUGGGCGUAAAGGGUGCGCAGGCGGUUGAGUAAGACAGAUGUGAAAUCCCCGAGCUUAACUCGGGAAUGGCAUAUGUGACUGCUCGGCUAGAGUGUGUCAGAGGGAGGUGGAAUUCCACGUGUAGCAGUGAAAUGCGUAGAUAUGUGGAAGAACACCGAUGGCGAAGGCAGCCUCCUGGGACAUAACUGACGCUCAGGCACGAAAGCGUGGGGGGCAAACAGGAUUAGAUACCCUGGUAGUCCACGCCCUAAACGAU
This 712-nucleotide ribosomal RNA is filed under the name uncultured bacterium. RNAcentral's name for it is "bacterial SSU rRNA". It matches the Rfam family "Bacterial small subunit ribosomal RNA", at positions 104 to 810 of the family's 1533-position model. The record is from RNAcentral.